CAUAGAUGAUGAAGAGAAACUAGCCUGUAUUUCCGAGAUGUAUACUCCGUUACUUGAACCGAUAGUUCCUGAUAUG
This 76-nucleotide small nucleolar RNA is filed under the name Oryza sativa (Asian cultivated rice). Its description in RNAcentral is "Z261 small nucleolar RNA". The record is from RNAcentral. Lineage: Eukaryota; Viridiplantae; Streptophyta; Magnoliopsida; Poales; Poaceae.